Triticum aestivum (bread wheat) is the source of this 137-nucleotide non-coding RNA. NCBI's taxonomy places the organism in Eukaryota, Viridiplantae, Streptophyta, Magnoliopsida, Poales, Poaceae. The record is from Rfam.
AUUCUACUCCCUCUGUUCCACAAUACAUGCCUUCUAUUUGUCAAAAUAUAGAUGUAUCUAGACAUGUUUUAGUAUAUAGGUACAUCCAUUUGUUGGACAAAUGGAAGUCAAGUAUUUUGGAACGGAGGGAGUACACA